UACCAAAGAAACAGAUUCUUGAGCUGCAAUAGUAAGAAUAUCAGCACAAGAAACAGUGGCAGGGCAAGCACUCUCCAAGCUAGCCUUCAUUUUAUCAACAACGUCAAAACCUCUGGCUGAGUUGUUAUUACCAGCAGCUUCUUUUUCGCCCUCCAUAGUAUCAGUGGUGUCCAACAAAAUUGAUCCAUCACAUCCAUUAACAA
This 203-nucleotide unclassified non-coding RNA is filed under the name Hevea brasiliensis (rubber tree). Lineage: Eukaryota; Viridiplantae; Streptophyta; Magnoliopsida; Malpighiales; Euphorbiaceae. The record is from RNAcentral.